This 46-nucleotide transfer RNA is filed under the name Canis lupus familiaris (dog). Its description in RNAcentral is "partial tRNA-Arg". Lineage: Eukaryota; Metazoa; Chordata; Mammalia; Carnivora; Canidae. The record is from RNAcentral.
AUGAUAAUUAGUUUAAGCCAAAAANAAAUGAUUUCGACUCAUUAGA